Molecule: ribosomal RNA, 254 nt
Filed under: uncultured bacterium
Lineage: Bacteria
Description: partial 16S ribosomal RNA
Rfam family: Bacterial small subunit ribosomal RNA
Source: RNAcentral
UACGUAGGGUGCAAGCGUUGUCCGGAUUUAUUGGGCGUAAAGAGCUCGUAGGCGGCUUGUCGCGUCGACUGUGAAAACCCGCGGCUCAACCGUGUGGCGGGCAGUUGAUACGGGCAGGCUAGAGUUCGGUAGGGGAGACUGGAAUUCCUGGUGUGAGCGGUGAAAUGCGCAGAUAUCAGGAGGAACACCGGUGGCGAAGGCGGGUCUCUGGGCCGAUACUGACGUGAGGAGCGAAAGCGUGGGGAGCGAACAGG